This 494-nucleotide ribosomal RNA is filed under the name uncultured bacterium. Its description in RNAcentral is "partial 16S ribosomal RNA". It matches the Rfam family "Bacterial small subunit ribosomal RNA", at positions 28 to 507 of the family's 1533-position model. The record is from RNAcentral.
GACGAACGCUGGCGGCGUGCUUAACACAUGCAAGUCGAACGGUGAAGCGCCUUCCUUUUUGGUGGGUGUAGAUGAGUGGCGAACGGGUGAGUAACACGUGAGUAACCUGCCCCCUUCUUCUGGAUAACCGCAUGAAAGUGUGGCUAAUACGGGAUAUUCUGGGUCUGUCGCAUGAUGGGUCUGGGAAAGAUAUUGUUUCGGUGGGGGAUGGGCUCGCGGCCUAUCAGCUUGUUGGUGGGGUGAUGGCCUACCAAGGCGGUGACGGGUAGCCGGCCUGAGAGGGUGGACGGUCACACUGGGACUGAGACACGGCCCAGACUCCUACGGGAGGCAGCAGUGGGGAAUAUUGCACAAUGGGCGCAAGCCUGAUGCAGCGACGCCGCGUGAGGGAUGGAGGCCUUCGGGUUGUGAACCUCUUUCGCCAGUGAAGCAGGCCUGCCUCGUUUGUGGGUGGGUUGACGGUAGCUGGAUAAGAAGCGCCGGCUAACUACGUG